UACAGAGGGGGCAAGCGUUAUUCGGAAUUAUUGGGCGUAAAGGGCGCGUAGGCGGCUUUUCAAGUGGCGGGUGAAAACCCUCGGCUUAACCGAGGAACUGCCUGCCAGACUGGAAGGCUUGAGGCCGGGAGAGGUGAGUGGAAUUCCCAGUGUAGCGGUGAAAUGCGUAGAUAUGCGGAGGAACACCGAUGGCGAAGGCAAUCCCCUGGGCCUGCACUGACGCUCAUGCACGAAAGCGUGGGGAGCAAACAGG
This 253-nucleotide ribosomal RNA is filed under the name uncultured bacterium. RNAcentral describes it as "partial 16S ribosomal RNA". It matches the Rfam family "Bacterial small subunit ribosomal RNA", at positions 524 to 776 of the family's 1533-position model. The record is from RNAcentral.